CGGCAAGAUGGCCGAGUGGUCUAAGGCGCAACGUUAAGGUUACCUUAAUUCACAAGCUUGUAGCUUCCGUUGUCUUCGGGCGUGGGUUCGAAUCCCACUCUUGUCA
RNAcentral lists this transfer RNA (106 nucleotides) under Malassezia restricta. RNAcentral's name for it is "tRNA-Leu". It matches the Rfam family "tRNA". Rfam says of the family: Transfer RNA (tRNA) molecules are approximately 80 nucleotides in length. Their secondary structure includes four short double-helical elements and three loops (D, anti-codon, and T loops). Lineage: Eukaryota; Fungi; Basidiomycota; Malasseziomycetes; Malasseziales; Malasseziaceae. The record is from RNAcentral.